Molecule: ribosomal RNA, 406 nt
Filed under: Cardinium endosymbiont of Bemisia tabaci
Lineage: Bacteria; Pseudomonadati; Bacteroidota; Cytophagia; Cytophagales; Amoebophilaceae
Also listed under: 1 other name
Description: partial 16S ribosomal RNA
Rfam family: Bacterial small subunit ribosomal RNA
Source: RNAcentral
CGUCCUAUUAGCUAGUUGGUGAGGUAAUGGCUCACCAAGGCUACGAUGGGUAGGGGUUCUUAGUGGAAGGUCCCCCACACUGGCACUGAGAUACGGGCCAGACUCCUACGGGAGGCAGCAGUAGGGAAUAUUGGUCAAUGGGCGCAAGCCUGAACCAGCCAUGCCGCGUGCAGGAUGAAGGCUCUCUGAGUUGUAAACUGCUUUUGUACAGGAGCAAAAAAAUCCCUGCGGGGGUUCUUGAGGGUACUGUAAGAAUAAGCACCGGCUAAUUCCGUGCCAGCAGCCGCGGUAAUACGGGAGGUGCAAGCGUUAUCCGGUUUUAUUGGGUUUAAAGGGUGCGUAGGCGGCUUAUUAAGUCAGUUGUGAAAUCCUAGUGCUUAACGCUAGAACUGCGAUUGAUACUAUU